Eubalaena glacialis (North Atlantic right whale) is the source of this 1112-nucleotide long non-coding RNA. RefSeq lists it as uncharacterized. NCBI's taxonomy places the organism in Eukaryota, Metazoa, Chordata, Mammalia, Artiodactyla, Balaenidae. The record is from RefSeq and is a predicted model, not a curated record. The transcript is spliced from 5 exons.
AUAACUUCUCAUUUAAAGGCAAUUUGUAGAAAUAGGAAAGUUUAGAAGUCUCACGUUCACCAAAGGAUUGAAGAGUGUUUAAAAAGCCAAGAUCAGGCAUUUUAUGGAUGGAAGAGCUCGUGUGUCCCAUUGACCAGAGGAAAUCGAAACUCCAAGAAUAAGCUGCCCAAGUGAACACAGCCUCAGUGGGGAAGCUGCCUUCAAGAUAAAAGCUAUUUCUCCAAAGCACUUACUUGCAGAUGUGUGGUUAACUUUCCACCCCUGCAAAGGGGAACCCAUCCCUGCAAAUCACAAACACUCAGCAGGGCUGGAAGCUCCCUGAGGACAGAGGCUGAGUCUUCUUACUGCCAGCAAUUGCCUCAGACAGAAGUAAUGGGCAACAGAUAAAAUAAACAAAAGGCCCAAACCCUGGCUUAAUUGGGAAAAUGGUUUCUCCAUGUCGUAAUGCCUUGGAUGUGUCGAAAGACUCCAUGGUGUAAAGGUAUCGAGAAGGUUGCAUCCUGAGAUCAUCAAACUCAUUCAUUUACUCAACAAAUACAUGUCUAUUGUGUGGAAGAGCCAGUUCUGGGCCUGAGAAUUAAAGGGCGUAGUAAGACAGAUAUGGUCCCCGAUCUAGAACAUGCAACUUGUGGGGAGACCAACAUCAGCCAGUCAACCACAGGAAUAAAUGUAAAACUGCAACUGUGGAAGUGUCUGCAAGGAGAGGGCUACUCUCACUGGAUGAAAUUUGAUAUAUUCAGAAAAGUAAAAAGAGAUGUAUUUGUGGGGCUUCCCUGGUGGCGCAGUGGUUGAGAGUCUGCCUGCCGAUGCAGGGGACACGGGUUCGAGCCCCGGUCUGGGAGGAUCCCACAUGCCGCGGAGCAACUGGGCCCGUGAGCCACAAUUACUGAGCCUGCGCGUCUGGAGCCUGUGCUCCGCAACAAGAGAGGCCGCGAUAGUGAGAGGCCCGCGCACCGCGAUGAAGAGGGGCCCCCACUUGCCGCAACUGGAGAAAGCCCUUGCACAGAAACGAAGACCCAACACAGCCGUAAAUAAAUAAAUAAAUAAAUAAGUCAUUUUUAAAAAAAAAGAGAUGUAUUUGUUAAAUCACCCAGUAUUCUACUACCUAAAGA